This 361-nucleotide ribosomal RNA is filed under the name uncultured bacterium. RNAcentral's name for it is "bacterial SSU rRNA". It matches the Rfam family "Bacterial small subunit ribosomal RNA", at positions 1008 to 1382 of the family's 1533-position model. The record is from RNAcentral.
GAGGGAGUGCCUUUCGGGGAACUCGGAGACAGGUGCUGCAUGGCUGUCGUCAGCUCGUGUCGUGAGAUGUUGGGUUAAGUCCUUUAACGAGCGCAACCCUCAUUGCAUGUUAAUUUUUCAUGCGAGACUGCCCUGGUUAACAGGGAGGAAGGUGGGGAUGACGUCAAGUCAGCAUGGCCCUUACACCUUGGGCUACACACGUGUUACAAUGGCCGGUACAAUAAGUCGCAAUACCGUAAGGUGGAGCUAAUCUAUGAAAACCGGUCCCAGUUCGGAUUGGGGGCUGAAACUCGCCCCCAUGAAGUCGGAAUCGCUAGUAACCGUGAAUCAGCACGUCACGGUGAAUACGUUCCCGGGUCUU